RNAcentral lists this ribosomal RNA (174 nucleotides) under uncultured bacterium. RNAcentral's name for it is "partial 16S ribosomal RNA". It matches the Rfam family "Bacterial small subunit ribosomal RNA", at positions 180 to 353 of the family's 1533-position model. The record is from RNAcentral.
AAUGAUUCCGCAUGGUUUCAUUAUUAAAGGAUUCCGGUAAAGGAUGGGGAUGCGUUCCAUUAGGUUGUUGGUGAGGUAACGGCUCACCAAGCCUUCGAUGGAUAGGGGUUCUGAGAGGAAGGUCCCCCACAUUGGAACUGAGACACGGUCCAAACUCCUACGGGAGGCAGCAUG